This 484-nucleotide ribosomal RNA is filed under the name uncultured bacterium. RNAcentral describes it as "partial 16S ribosomal RNA". It matches the Rfam family "Bacterial small subunit ribosomal RNA", at positions 30 to 507 of the family's 1533-position model. The record is from RNAcentral.
AUUGAACGCUGGCGGCGGGCCUAACACAUGCAAGUCGAGCGGAUGAAGGGAGCUUGCCUCUGGUUUCAGCGGCGGACGGGUGGGUAAUGCCUAGGAAUCAGCCUGGCUGUGGGGGUUAAAGACCGGAAACGGGCGGUAAUACCGCCUACGUCCUGUGGGAGAAAGUAUGGGUUCUUAGGACAAGACGCUAUCAGAUGAACCUAGGUCGGGUUAGCUAGUUGGUGGGGUAGUGGCCUAGCAAGGCGACGAUCCGUAACUGGUCUGAUGGGAGGAUCAGUCACACUGGAACUGGGACACGGUCCAGGCUCCUACGGGAGGCAGCAGUGGGGAAUAUUGGACAAUGGGCGAAAGCCUUAUCCAGCCAUGCCGCGUGUGUGAAGAAGGGCUUCGGAUUGUAAAGCACUUUAAGUUGGGAGGAAGGGCAGUAAGUUAAUACCUUGCUGUUUUGACGUUACCAACAGAAUAAGCACCGGCUAACUUCGUG